Molecule: microRNA precursor, 177 nt
Organism: Leersia perrieri
Lineage: Eukaryota; Viridiplantae; Streptophyta; Magnoliopsida; Poales; Poaceae
Source: Rfam
GCAACAAGAGCCACUCCGGAUAGCCAAGGAAGACAUGCCUUAAUGCCUAUGCUAUCAACUCAGGAUCGUCCUAUAAUUGACAGGCUUGAUCAAGAGGAUGAAAAUGCAGUGCAUGGCCAUGAGCAUAAAACCUGCACAUAGGCAAGUCAUCCUUGGCUACCGAAUAAGCUCUGGUCC